Molecule: long non-coding RNA, 1965 nt
Organism: Monodelphis domestica (gray short-tailed opossum)
Lineage: Eukaryota; Metazoa; Chordata; Mammalia; Didelphimorphia; Didelphidae
Source: Ensembl
GUCUUGGGUCUGGCGUGUGGGAGUUGGGUCCCAGUUAGGGAGGAAGCUGGCUUAGGUGUGAGUUAACAGGUGUGGUGGCCUGCACUUUAAUCCUAGCCAGGUCUUCUCAUUGGAGGAGCGGACUGGCUUAGAGGGUGGUAUGAAGCCAAUAUUCAGGUUACAGGUGAGACCGUGUGCUUUACAGGAAUCUCGGAGGCAGAAAUGUUUAAACAAAGGAAAGAAAAACACCUUUGAGAGUCUAGUGAGUGAGUGAGAGCUUGGCAGCAGCCCCAGGUCCCUCAGAGGGUUCCCACUUUUCCUCCUCAAAGAGCUUAGACUUUCUCCCUCCAGGCCCCAUUUCCUUGUUGUAGUGACAGACUGGCUGAAAGGCCAACAGAAGGUCAUCUUCUGGCUUCUGCAGAGGAGGAAGACUUGGGGUUUCUUGCCUUUGUUGGAUGCCCCUUCCAAUGGGAGGAAUUUUAGUGAGAGUCAGGGGGAUGACUGCUAAUGAGCUUUGCUGUUCCAGUGGUUCUUCAGGCCCAACAUGUCCAAACAGGCUAUGUCUUCCCCAUAAACUCAUUUCCCUAACCUCCCUAUUUUGGUCAUAAGCGAUAUAAUCCCCCAAGUUGCCAUAACCUCCAAGUCAUUGGAAAGAAACAAGGGCCUGGACUUGGAGGCUUCCAAAACUUCCCCAGAUGUUGGCCAGCUGGCCUCGGUUUCUUCAUCUUAAGAGGCUGACCUUGAUGGUCUUCAAGAUCCUUUCCAGCCUGUGGGCCUAAACAUUCUCUCUCCCCAACCUCACUUAUUCAGUCAGUUGCCAAGUCUCGUCAUCUCUACCUUCGCGGUGUUUCUUUAAUCCAUUCCCUUCUUUCUAUUCACAUCUUCACUGCCCUAGUUGGGGCCUUCAUCAUCUCUUGCCUGGAUUGUUACAGCUAUUACAUCGGCCUGUUUGGUGUUACCCUUUUGUGUUUCUCCCUACAAUCCAUCUUCCACAGAGGUGCCACAAUCAUCACCUUCUUCAGCCACGGGCCAGUCAACCUGUGUCAGUUUCCUCAUCUGUGUUGAAGAAUUUAGGGCAGCUCGGUGGCCUACUGGAUGGAGCAGCAAGCCUAGAGUCAGGAAGAUUCAUCUUCUUCAGCUCAAAUCUGGCAUCUGCCACUUCCUAAAUGUGUGACCUCCGGCCAUUCUCUCAAUCCUAUCUGCCUCAGUUUGCUCAUCUGUAAAAUGAACUGGAGAAGGAAAUGGCCAACCACUACAGCAUCUUUUGCCAAGAAAAUGGACUCCUGAAGAGUUGGACACAACUGAACAUGCUGAAGAAAAGUGCACAAAUGAAUGUUAAAAUAUACUCUGUGAUUAGUCUUAAGUCUGCUAGAAAUAAUUUUAUUUAAAGUGUAUCCAAGGCAUUUCUAGGUUGGAGAGAGAUGUCUCACUGGCGUAGUCUUCUGGGCCUUCCAAUGUGACUGUCCCCGAGAGAAUUCAAGGUAGCAUUUUUACAGGAAUCUCAAACAAAGACGAAAUCAUGAUGUGUUAAAAAUCCAGGUUGGGGAGACCAUUUGAGAACGGUCACCAUCCAGUGCCUUCCUGAACCCUGGCCAGCCCCAUCGCUUCUUGGGGUCAGUAUCUCCACCUUGAAUUUCAAGAGAGAAGGUGCUGUCCCUUGGCCGGUCCCUGGGUGGGUGGUGGAGCCACCCACUCCAAGAAGGUGGGAAGACAGUGAUCUCAUCUAGACGAGAGAUGAGUUUGCUCACGAGCCUUUCUUGAUCUCACAUGAGGAAAAUCUUAGUGUUGGUUCUCUUUUUUGAAAGGGAAAAUGGAGAAAUAGUAUUUUUUUAGUUUUCUAAAGAAAAAUUAAAGAGGCUCUUGAAUAUGCAUCCACAUUUGUAAAGGAGGAAGUUGGAUCAAAUCUUUGUUAAAGGUUUUAAAGGAUUAAAAAAAAUUUUUUAGAUUUUAAACAGUUUUUGCCCUCAAGGAGCCAGAUAGUUGAGG